GAUGAACGCUGGCGGCGUGCUUAACACAUGCCAGUCGAACGGAAAGGCCCAAGCUUGCUUGGGUACUCGAGUGGCGAACGGGUGAGUAACACGUGGGUGAUCUGCCCUGCACUUCGGGAUAAGCCUGGGAAACUGGGUCUAAUACCGGAUAGGACCACUUCUUGGAUGUUGUGGUGGAAAGUUUUUUCGGUGUGGAAUGAGCUCGCGGCCUAUCAGCUUGUUGGUGGGGUAAUGGCCUACCAAGGCGUCGACGGGUAGCCGGCCUGAGAGGGUGUACGGCCACAUUGGGACUGAGAUACGGCCCAGACUCCUACGGGAGGCAGCAGUGGGGAAUAUUGCACAAUGGGCGCAAGCCUGAUGCAGCGACGCCGCGUGGGGGAUGACGGCCUUCGGGUUGUAAACUCCUUUCGCUAGGGACGAAGCGUUUUGUGACGGUACCUGGAGAAGAAGCACCGGCUAACUACGUG
This 467-nucleotide ribosomal RNA is filed under the name uncultured bacterium. RNAcentral's name for it is "partial 16S ribosomal RNA". It matches the Rfam family "Bacterial small subunit ribosomal RNA", at positions 28 to 507 of the family's 1533-position model. The record is from RNAcentral.